Molecule: transfer RNA, 72 nt
Filed under: Camelus bactrianus (Bactrian camel)
Lineage: Eukaryota; Metazoa; Chordata; Mammalia; Artiodactyla; Camelidae
Also listed under: 2 other names
Rfam family: tRNA
About the family: Transfer RNA (tRNA) molecules are approximately 80 nucleotides in length. Their secondary structure includes four short double-helical elements and three loops (D, anti-codon, and T loops).
Source: Rfam by way of RNAcentral
GGGGCUUUAGCUCAGUGGUAGAGCAUGCCCUUGGCAUGCUUGAGGUCCUGGGUUCAAUCCCCAGUGCCUCUG